This is a long non-coding RNA of Myotis myotis, 192 nucleotides long. RefSeq lists it as uncharacterized. Lineage: Eukaryota; Metazoa; Chordata; Mammalia; Chiroptera; Vespertilionidae. The transcript has 3 exons. The record is from RefSeq and is a predicted model, not a curated record.
AGAAUGAAUUUUAGGAUUUCUCACUGAAGCGGGCAGAGACAUUUGGUCACUUGAACGAAGCAGGACAAACCAAGUUGGCAUACAAGUUACCUGGAGAAACAGAGAGAUGGAUGCAGAGGCUGAAGAUAAAACGCUGCGUACCCGCUCUAAAGGAACGAAGGUGCCAAUGAAUUCUCUAAUCCAGGAGCUCAG